GCCGAAGUGGUGGAAUUGGUAGACACGCUAUCUUGAGGGGGUAGUGAGUUACGCUCGUGCCGGUUCGACUCCGCCUUCGGCACCA
Molecule: transfer RNA, 85 nt
Filed under: Candidatus Electrothrix marina
Lineage: Bacteria; Pseudomonadati; Thermodesulfobacteriota; Desulfobulbia; Desulfobulbales; Desulfobulbaceae
Also listed under: 1 other name
Description: tRNA-Leu
Rfam family: tRNA
About the family: Transfer RNA (tRNA) molecules are approximately 80 nucleotides in length. Their secondary structure includes four short double-helical elements and three loops (D, anti-codon, and T loops).
Source: RNAcentral